This 1427-nucleotide unclassified non-coding RNA is filed under the name Hevea brasiliensis (rubber tree). Lineage: Eukaryota; Viridiplantae; Streptophyta; Magnoliopsida; Malpighiales; Euphorbiaceae. The record is from RNAcentral.
GCCAUAAAGCUUUAAAGCUUUUAUUAAUUAUUAGUUAUAUGCAAUAAGUAACAAUACUUUUAAAAGGCAUGUCAUUUUUAUUCUAUGCCUUGUUGGUAAGAAGGUAAGCAUCAACGGCCUUGUUGUAGUUAGCUAGAAACUCCAUGUACUUGUGAGGAGGUGGGAUGUCCUCGUUUUUUUUCUCAUAUUCUAUACUCCAUUUUGCCAAGCUGCCUGGACCGAUUGUUGUGACCUGAACGAUUGGCUUGUAAGUCUUGUAGUGUUUCAUGAUCUCUCCUUCCAAUAUGUUGAAGGUGAUAGUCCUGCUUUGCUCAUCUAUGGAUUCCACCUUCUCCUUAACUGUCUCACAAUUCCCAGCAACAUAAGUCCACAGCCUGACUGAGCCCACAGAGUCCCAAUCGCCUUGAAGAGCUUGAAUGUCCUUUACAUAAUCAGGGCAGAUCUUGGGUAUGAGAUACGCUUUGCUUCUUAAAAUCUCAUAAAACUUAGCAGCAGAGGAUUUAAUCUCUGUUUGGACUUCCAGCUUUUCGAUUUGAGCCAUUUGAUGAUAUGAAGCAAGCAACGACUGCAGUGACAAUGUCUAGGCCAUAGCCUCAGUAUAUAGAGAACGAAAGGGAAUCACAUGACCUGUAUUGCAGGACCAGCUCCAAAAAGUGAAAGAAUUCCAUCAGUAACGUGAUCAGCUCAAUAGACGAUAGAGAAAUCAGAUUCUUGAAUUUGUCAAGAAUAUAUGUCAAUAGUUGUCUUCAAAUUUAGAAGUGCUAAGAUUCUUUUGUUAUCUUUACGCUAAAAAAGGAAAAAUUAAGGAAACGAAGUGUUAGAAAAAUAGUGGAUCAGAUUCUUGACAGGUCCACCAAGAAAAGAUGGAUAUCAAAUCUUUUUCCACUAGGGAAGAGAAUAUUUUGAUAGGCAAUUCGGAGGUGCUGAUUUUGAUCUAGAUUAGCCUCGAAUAUUCAAAGAAAAUAAAAAUGAUUGAACUGACCUGAUAUUCUCCAUCUUUGUUUAUUUUUCUACUGUUUUGGAUAAAAAUUUGGGUGCAAGUGAUGUAGAUAUACUUCCUGUAAAGAUGGAAGGAGCACAAGCAAUAGCUUGAUAGGAUAACACAGAAUAAACUUUUAAAACCUGCAAAAGAGCAAUAGGAAGAAAGAGGAGAGAAGGAAGACAGCAACAGCAGACAUGUCUUGCAUCUGCAGCACAGCUUUUCAAAAAACAAGACUACAAAAUAUACAAGAAAAUGAAAUAAAGAAAAGCACCAGAGGCCAACCAAAAGUCCAAAACUUCCAAAUUGAGUCGAGUACGCUAAAAUUCAGAUAUCAGACUGCAGUCUUUGUUUAAAAAGUUUUGUUUUGUUCACAACUCAAGGUCAGCAAAUAGAAUUGCAGAUAGCUUGACAUUUGAAAGAACAAACAAGCUGUGAGUCGAUUUGG